This is a long non-coding RNA of Tupaia belangeri chinensis (Chinese tree shrew), 306 nucleotides long. RefSeq lists it as uncharacterized. The record is from RefSeq and is a predicted model, not a curated record. The transcript has 3 exons. Lineage: Eukaryota; Metazoa; Chordata; Mammalia; Scandentia; Tupaiidae.
AGAGAAAUGAAGUGAGUAAAAAAGGGCACAAGGCAAUUUUCCCAUGAUGGAGAAGUUACUUAUCUUUAUCGGGGUUCAUGUUAUACAGUGCCCUGCCGUGAAGGAGUCACUGAGCCAGCUCGUUACCUGCCGGCAACAGCCGAGUUGUGGGUAGGCCUUCAGCUAUGGAGAGACUUUCUAUAAUUUUUAAAAAGACAUCGACUAAGAACAUGAACCUGACUUUUCCCUCAAUAAUCAAAGCAAUAAGAAUCAACAUCCCAAUUGGUGAAAACACAAUCCGUUCUCUGAAAAUCCAUUUUGUGUAGA